This 206-nucleotide unclassified non-coding RNA is filed under the name Melitaea cinxia (Glanville fritillary). RNAcentral describes it as "misc RNA ENSMCXG00005014913.1". The record is from RNAcentral. Lineage: Eukaryota; Metazoa; Arthropoda; Insecta; Lepidoptera; Nymphalidae.
UGAGGAGAUAAGGAGGAGCAGAAAUAUCUCCAACCAUCACAUUUUUUUCUUUUGAAAACCUGUUUUCUUUUUUUUUAUAGCUUCCGUACAAUCUUUAUCCCACCAAGGUGGACUAGGAAUAUGAGAAGGUUCAUUUUUCACUGGGAAGAUUUCAUUAGCACUUUCAAUCAAGACAUCCGUGAAAACAGGAGCAUCAAUAAGUGCAU